CACACACUUUUCAGAAAGGGAAAAUAAGGAACGGGGAAACAAGAAAGGAAGGGAAAGGGGGUGAAGAAAAGAGAAAGAGAAGCAGACAGGGAGAAGAAGAGGAGAGUGGGGGAGGAACGGCGUCGGCGAGGAGCCCACGGUUGCCGCCGUCGCGUCGCCGAAGGAAUCGAAGCCGCGAAGAGAGAGAGAGAGAGAGAGAGCUCAGGAGAGAGAGGAGUGUCACCAUCGUCGUCACGGUUGCAGGCGUGAAGACCGCCGCCGUCGCCGCGCCUUGCCCAGUCGCCGUUGAGAUGGCUGAGCGCGAGGUGGAAGUAGCUUUCGUUGUCACCAAGCUGUCACCACUGCUAGAACCGCAAGGAGAGGAGACGCGUGUCUGACCCGUUGCUGCCGGCCCGCCUAGCCCGAGCCUUGUCGCCGUCGUCAUCCUUGUCAGAUCCACCGCCUCUGAAGCUUCUGGCCACACCUUUACCGCCGGAGAACGCCGCCGCCGCCACCGGAAUCCGCCACUAAAGCCUAGGUCUGCUUGGUUAUGCAGUCACUGCCGCACCUUGUCGUUGUCAGAGUCGCCACCGCCAAAUUCUUGCUAUUGCCACCGUUGUUCUAACUGCUGUCGUCAUCACUAAAAGUGGCCACUGGGGCUGCUCGAAAACCCUGUUGUUGCUGCUUCAUUAUUUUAUUGUAAGCUAUCUCUAUUUCCAAUUCCAUUGAAUUCAUUUCCAUUUCCGAUUCCAUUGAAUUUGAACUCUCUAUUUUGUUGCAACCUUGAUUAUCGCUGUGAGGAUUACUAAUGUCGCUAUUACUGGAGUAUCAUUGGAAUUGACGUUGCUCUUGUCCUGAUUAAUGCUGCUCCCUUCCUGUAAUUCUUUUGGGUUAAACCAUUGUAAUUAUAGAGCCGUGUUUGAUGGUGUUGUUGCGGAGAGUUUUCAGUGUAGCUAAUGCCACUGCCGUUGUUUCAUUCUCUUAGUACAGGUCGAGUUUUGUUGUGAAGGGUGCUUUUUGGGCUAUACGGCUGCGGGAAAUAGUCGGAGUCAAUGCUGUUCGAUUUCGGAAUGAGGAAAAAGGAAUUCUCCAACGCGUUUGGUUAGUGGUUUUGCGAGCUUUAUCGUUUCAGGAAUCGGAUGAAGCAUUAUGAAGAGUUAUGCUGGGUUUGAUUUAUACGUUGUAUUAAUUAGAUUAUUUUCUUCCCUCGCCUU
Molecule: non-coding RNA, 1193 nt
Organism: Arachis ipaensis
Lineage: Eukaryota; Viridiplantae; Streptophyta; Magnoliopsida; Fabales; Fabaceae
Source: RefSeq, a predicted model, not a curated record